Molecule: long non-coding RNA, 226 nt
Organism: Sinocyclocheilus rhinocerous
Lineage: Eukaryota; Metazoa; Chordata; Actinopteri; Cypriniformes; Cyprinidae
Exons: 3
Source: RefSeq, a predicted model, not a curated record
CCAAAUGAAAAAGGAGAUGAUGCAAUGAGGCCAGCAGUGGAGCACCAUGACACACACACACACACUUUUAGAGCUCUCUGUUACUUGGCUGUUCAUUCUAAGGGGCUCUUGUGUACUGCAUUGACUAAGACCAGACAUUUUUUGAAAAAUUCAAGUCUAUUGACUUCAGGACUUUUAGGAUUUCACUAAACCUGCAGUGAUUGCACUGCUCUUGCCAUGAGGUCAC